Molecule: transfer RNA, 67 nt
Filed under: Marmota monax (woodchuck)
Lineage: Eukaryota; Metazoa; Chordata; Mammalia; Rodentia; Sciuridae
Description: tRNA.Ala
Source: RNAcentral
GGUUGUAGCUCAGUGGUACAGCACUUGCCUAGCACAUGUGAGGCCCUGGGUUCAAUCCUCAGCACCA